Molecule: ribosomal RNA, 950 nt
Filed under: Salinibacterium sp. NSLL16
Lineage: Bacteria; Bacillati; Actinomycetota; Actinomycetes; Micrococcales; Microbacteriaceae
Description: partial 23S ribosomal RNA
Rfam family: Bacterial large subunit ribosomal RNA
Source: RNAcentral
UGAGUAACAUCAACUGGAGGACCGAACCCACUAACGUUGAAAAGUUAGGGGAUGACCUGUGGCUAGGAGUGAAAGGCUAAUCAAACCGGGAGAUAGCUGGUUCUCCCCGAAAUCUAUUUAGGUAGAGCCUCGGACGAAUACUUACGGGGGUAGAGCACUGUUAAGGCUAGGGGGUCAUCCCGACUUACCAACCCUUUGCAAACUCCGAAUACCGUAAAGUAAUAUCCGGGAGACACACGGCGGGUGCUAACGUCCGUCGUGAAGAGGGAAACAACCCAGACCGCCAGCUAAGGUCCCAAAGUCAUAGUUAAGUGGGAAACGAUGUGGAAAGGCCCAGACAGCCAGGAGGUUGGCUUAGAAGCAGCCAUCCUUUAAAGAAAGCGUAAUAGCUCACUGGUCGAGUCGGUCUGCGCGGAAGAUGUAACGGGGCUAAACUAUGCACCGAAGCUGCGGAUUCAGAAUUUAUUCUGAGUGGUAGGGGAGCGUUCUGUAAGCCGUUGAAGGUGUACCGGGAGGUAUGCUGGAGGUAUCAGAAGUGCGAAUGCUGACAUGAGUAACGAUAAUGGGAGUGAAAAACUCCCACGCCGGAAGACCAAGGGUUCCUAUCCCAUGUUAAUCAGGGUAGGGUAAGUCGACCCCUAAGGCUAGGCCGAAAGGCGUAGUCGAUGGGAAACAGAUUAAUAUUUCUGUACUCGAUAUAAUUGCGAUGGGGGGACGGAGCAGGCUAAGCAAGCAUAGCGUUGGUAGUCUAUGUGAAAGUGAGUAGGGCGUUUGUUUAGGUAAAUCCGGACAAGCAUUAAACCUGAGACACGAGACGAGUCACUACGGUGAUGAAGUUGCUGAUGCCAUACUUCCAGGAAAAGCCUCUAAGCUUCAGAUUAUAUGGAAUCGUACCCCAAACCGACACAGGUGGUCAGGUAGAGAAUACUAAGGCGCUUGAGAGAACUCGG